GACGAACGCUGGCGGCGUGGAUUAGGCAUGCAAGUCGAACGGUAUCAUCCUUUCGGGGGUGAGAGAGUGGCGAACUGGUGAGUAACACGUAGGUUAUCUACCCUCAAGACGGGGACAACCCAGGGAAACUUGGGCUAAUACCGGAUGUGAGCAACUUUUAGUUGUUUGAAAGGUGGCGUAAGCUGUCGCUUGGGGAUGAGCCUGCGUCCUAUUAGUUAGUUGGUGAGGUAACGGCUCACCUAGGCAAUGAUAGGUAGGCGGCCUUAACGGGUGGUCGCCCACACUGGGAUUGAGAUACGGCCCAGACUCCUACGGGAGGCAGCAGUCGAGAAUAGUCUACAAUGGUCGGAAGACUGAUAGUGCGACGCCGCGUGAACGAUGAAUCCCUUCGGGGUGUAAAGUUCUUUUAUAUGUGAGCAGUGCUUUCUAUAUUAACAGUAUGGGGAAGAGAUAUUAGCAUAUGAAUAAGCAACGGCUAACUCCGUGCCCAGCAGCCGGGUAA
Molecule: ribosomal RNA, 502 nt
Filed under: uncultured bacterium
Lineage: Bacteria
Description: bacterial SSU rRNA
Rfam family: Bacterial small subunit ribosomal RNA
Source: RNAcentral